UUUACAUCACAACCAUUAAUUUCUAGUUUCGGAAACUUAUUUCACUCGCUUUCGAACUCGUUUCCAAAAAGGAAAAGGCAUAACAUUGUUUCAUGUAGUCAUAUCGAUAAUAGGAAUCACGACAUAAUAUCAAAUGUAAUGAUUACGAAAUGUAAUGAUUGAAAAAAUGGUCUCGGGCAGUGCCAAAUCUCUGCGCAACAACAGCAAUAUAAGGAAGAGAAGCAGUAUUUGACAGAGAAAUGACUGAAACGAGCGUACAACUGUGCCUAAAACCCCACUCUAUAUAAAAUCUAAAUUUGGUUUCGGAAAUAAACUACGAAUAAAACGACAAUCAGUAUAUCGUGCAUACAUCAAAACAAGUUUUGCCAUGUUUGGCGAAAAACAAAAUUCAAUUCUUCGCUAUCCAUUUUUUCGUUCGUUUUAAACAAUCAAAAUGAGUCAAGGCAAUGGGAACUUAGCCAUUGCGUAACAUAGUAAUACAGUUAGUAUGUUACACAAAAAAAACUAGCUCUAGCGUUAAAGGAACUAGGCGAUUUAAAUACAGUGGUGAGUGCCUCUCAUUUGAGGGAGGAGCUAAGUAGAAACUUUCUGCAAGCUCAAUUCGCUUUGGAAGAAGUUGGCCACAGUGAAUUCAAAGGCGUUUUUUGCCCCGACUUCGUGAUCUUCAUCCGUUCGUCAAACUUCGUUGAAUGAAAAUUAAAACUUUUUGUUCGCAUCGCAGUUUUUCGCAAAGCGCAGUCGUCGGAAUUACCAAUACCGCAACUUUGUAGUACAUAUUAAGAUCGAUUAGAUUUCCUUACCAUGCCACUGUCAUCGACAACGACCCUGAACUAAGCAACAUUGAAAAACUUGAGUACCUUCAUGCUAUCUUGAAGAAUGCUGCUUUGGAUACAAUUGCAUCGUAUUGAAGAGAUUUUUGGUCUGAAAGGUGUUGCAAAGGCAGUUUUUAAUGACAAGUUUAAGGCUCAUAUGCGUGCGCUGCAAUCUACAUGCACAAAAGUUCAAAUUACGUAUGGACUCUUGUGCCACUUGAUUACGUCAAAGUUAGAUAUAUAAUCAUGAAUGAAAUGGGAAGAACGUUGGUCUAUGAAAUAAUUUCCAUCCUAGUGUUCUUGAACAACAGGCGCCAUAUGCUCGAAAAUUGGAAACGCUUCUUCGUGUGGUUGAAUGUUUUUGUGACUUCUACCGCGCCAUGGCGUUCUUGCAUUUCUACGCAUCCCAUGAACACUCCAUUGCUAAUUAUUCUCGUUUUGGAAAUUUAUACCGAUCACCACGUCAUGAGGGGGAUAAAAGAAUGAAAUUGUGCAUCAAUUGCUUAAAAAAUGGAAAAAAUUGUAGAUCUGGUCAUUGCCCUCAAUGCCAAGCGAAGACUAUUCGUUAUUGAACUUUGACAAACCCCUCGUCAAGUCUCUUCCAGUCCGCACUUGUUACGUCAUUAUCAGCUUCAUAUGUUUUGUUCGCUACAGCAGCAAUCGUUACGCUUCAUUUGUACUUUGUCGUGUCAUUAAAUCAAUUUUAUUGAUGAUUAAAUCAGCUUCGACUAGGAACAAACAUAUCAUCUGUUACCAUUUUCAGCAUACGAGAUGGUGCUUUCGUUGCAGAUACAUUCGUCGGUAGCUUUUUACGAUCGGAAUAUGGAGAUCAUUGAACUUCAAUAUCAGCUGUUGUCGUGCCAGCUGUAACAGCUUAUCAUCCAAGUAUCAGUUCUAACGCAAAACGUGCGGUUGGCAAAUCCUUACUUCACAAACUAGUCCGCACAGAUAUUUCGGUUGACGUUGGUUCACUGUUUUGAUGAGUGUUGGUCAAAUUCGCCAGGCCAGAAAUUUGCAAGAAAGCCUAGUCGGAUGAGUGGCCUUUUAAAUUCAUGGUCAUUAGCAACAAGCGUCAACCCUAUUGAGAGUGGAGAACAUAAAUUGGGUAGCCUUCUGAGUUCUUUCUGAGAAAUUGAAGAUAAGUGUAAUAAAUUUCGUUCUACGAACGAUGAAGAUAUCGUUUGUGGGCGACCCUUUCAACGAUCAACAAUUCGUUUUGGAAAAGAAACUAAGAAAACAUCCAGAAAUCACAACACAACACACACCUCCAUGAACGAUUACACAGAAUUGAAUUAUAUCUCGCUUGUCACCUCCCCACCAAGAGUCAACAGCUGUUACAUAACGACCCAUUGUAUGCAUACACAAUAUAGCACAACAACAAAACUCUUUUUCGAAAAUCUCAUCAGGUUGUUCAUUAAUAAUAUACUUUAUUCCGAUCCGACAUUCCAAUCAAACCCAUUUAAUACAAUUUCAUGUUUUCGAUUCUUUCAGGGAGCUUUGAACAGUGAUGUUAGCAAAAUGCAUCGGUGUUUAAAGGUUUCCUGUCCAAGCAAUUCAAAACAAAAUCAAAGCUUAUGUGUGUAUGUAUGGAUUUUGAUAUGACUUUAUUAAUGCUAAAAGCAUUAUAUGGAUGUUUAUUAAAAAGUAAUACGAACCCACGAGUAAUUAAAUAUAAAGAAAUAAUAAUAAAAAAAGUAAGCAAAAGGUUUGACGACUGUACUAUUUUACAACUUGACUCUUCCUAAAGACUGCGCGACGUUACUCGUCGACUGCCAAUUAGCGAUUGAUGCUUGUUUCUCUCUGUUUCUCUCCAGCGAUAUUUUGCACGCUUUAUUCUUCGUUUAUUCUUUGAGCUCUCACUGCUUAUUACUACGCUACGUAUCUACUCCUUACAUGUAUAGUCACCAAGAAUUAAUUAAAUAAUACAUCUUGGCAAAAACCUUUGUAUACAUAAUCGUCUGUGUACAAACAUAAAAGAUAACAAAGCAUUCUAAGCUAAAAAAGAAAUAUGUAUAGAAUAUGUAUAUAAGCAAAAAAACAAUAAAGCAUAGUAUAUUAUAAUAAUUUUGAAUUUGAUGAGUCUUUUCAUAUAGGAAUCUUUAGUGUUGGUGUACAGUAAGUUUUCUACACUGUUCGGCUUCAAUGUGCUAAGUCGAUCUGCCUCUUGAAAAUGCCAAUUGAACUCGGCAUGGCGCAGUGCCUAACAUACCAGGCGGAUGGAACGCCUUUGAAUUUUUAGCGGAUUAAUACGCUUGUUGAAUUGCUUUUAGACAAUUGACUUUAAUGAAUUCUUAC
Molecule: long non-coding RNA, 3107 nt
Organism: Glossina fuscipes
Lineage: Eukaryota; Metazoa; Arthropoda; Insecta; Diptera; Glossinidae
Exons: 3
Source: RefSeq, a predicted model, not a curated record